AUUGAACGCUGGCGGCAGGCCUAACACAUGCAAGUCGAACGAGUGGCGGACGGGUGCGUCAUGUCUGGGACACUGCCUGAUGGAGGGGUCUCACUACUGUAAACGGUAGCUAAUACCGCCUACCAUCGGAUGUGCCCAGCUGGGAUUAGCUAGUAGGUGGGGGAAAGGCUCACCUAGGCGACGAUCCCUAGCUGGUCUGAGAGGAUGACGAGCCACACGGGAACUGAGACACGGGCCAGACGUCUACGGUAGGCAGCAGUGGGGAAGAUGGCACAAGGGGCGCAAGCCUGAGGCAGCCAUGCCGCGUGUAUGAAGAAGGCCUUCGGGGUGUAAAGUACGGUCAGCGGGGAGGCGUUACCCGCAGAAGAAGCACCGGAUAACUCCGUGCCAGCAGCCGCGGUAAUUC
This 406-nucleotide ribosomal RNA is filed under the name uncultured bacterium. RNAcentral describes it as "partial 16S ribosomal RNA". It matches the Rfam family "Bacterial small subunit ribosomal RNA", at positions 29 to 526 of the family's 1533-position model. The record is from RNAcentral.